AAAUGGGAGGAUAACUUUGCACAUUCUGAAUCACUCCUCCAGCAACUUUUCCAUCAUGUUUACCCAGAUUUUCAAGCGCGGCAACCGAAUUGGACCUUACUGUUAUUGUUGUAGGCUUGUUUGCAAUCUGUUUAUUUUUGUUCUGGGUAUCUUCAUUUCUGUUGGUCCUCGAUGAUUCACUGUUCCUUGCAUUUUGUUGUCUAGUAUCCUUUGUAAGUUGC
RNAcentral lists this long non-coding RNA (221 nucleotides) under Nicotiana benthamiana. RNAcentral describes it as "long non-coding RNA (NBEN_LNC004248)". The record is from RNAcentral. Lineage: Eukaryota; Viridiplantae; Streptophyta; Magnoliopsida; Solanales; Solanaceae.